This 202-nucleotide ribosomal RNA is filed under the name uncultured bacterium. RNAcentral's name for it is "partial 16S ribosomal RNA". It matches the Rfam family "Bacterial small subunit ribosomal RNA", at positions 1299 to 1500 of the family's 1533-position model. The record is from RNAcentral.
UGCAGGCUGAAACUCGCCUGUANGAAGAUGGAGUUGCUAGUAAUCGCGAAUCAGAAUGUCGCGGUGAAUACGUUCCCGGGUCUUGUACACACCGCCCGUCACACCAUGAGAGUUGGCAACACCCGAAACCUGUGGGCUAACCGAAAGGAGGCAGCAGUCUAAGGUGGGGUCAGUGAUUGGGGUGAAGUCGUAACAAGGUAGC